AGUGAAACAAUAAAUCAACAUCUAAACCUUAGUUAAUUCUCAAUAACUAAUUCACAAUUAUCACUGAAUUAAUCACUCAAUUACUUAAUUGCAAUGUAUAGCUUCUUUUUCUGAACUCAACUGAAGUUCAGAGUACUCAUAACUGUUAGUUUUAAAACUUAAAUGGUUUAAGGCAAUCGGUUGCCUCAAACGGUUUGAGUUAACAUAACUUGUCAGGUUUUUAAGGAUAUCUGUUUACUCAAACGGUUUGAGUUAAGUUACUUGUCGGGUUUUACAGUGUGAUAGGAAAUUAAACAUAAGGCAUUAUGUGGAAGGAUUUUAAAAAUACACUACAGAGGAACUUGACCUGUGAGCUAUUGUUAUAUAUAUAUACACAUUUGUAUAUGAAUUUGAAUUUGUGUACUUCACACAUUUCCUUAUGACGAUGAUGUACAAAUAGCAUCUCUAUGAACAUCUAAACACAUGCAUUGUUAAUCAGUCACUUGAUCAGUGUCUGUGAGGAUCAUUGUGUGUCAGCUUACAUCAGUAAAUGAAGGAGAUCCUCUGUGCUGGCUUUUGGAUAUAGAGAAAUACAUCAGGCUGUCUACACUGACAAUGGUUUCCUCUCUUCUUAAAAGUUUUAUAAGAGCACUGACUAUCAUCUCUGUUAUAUCUGUUACUAACAUCAGCAGCACCAAUACAACAGUCACACCAGAGACGAGCUCAGCUGGAGAGUUAACUGCAGUAGUGAGAGCUUUAAGAUGGAUAAGCAAAGCAGGCUUAAAGAAGGUUUUAAUAUGUUCAUGUGGGAGUGAAAGAGAAUAAAGCAUCAAAUAAAUUGGCGAAACAAGCUGAAUAGAAAUGGAAG
Molecule: long non-coding RNA, 847 nt
Organism: Cyprinus carpio (common carp)
Lineage: Eukaryota; Metazoa; Chordata; Actinopteri; Cypriniformes; Cyprinidae
Source: Ensembl